RNAcentral lists this ribosomal RNA (301 nucleotides) under uncultured bacterium. RNAcentral describes it as "partial 16S ribosomal RNA". It matches the Rfam family "Bacterial small subunit ribosomal RNA", at positions 509 to 809 of the family's 1533-position model. The record is from RNAcentral.
CAGCAGCCGCGGUAAUACGUAGGUGGCAAGCGUUGUCCGGAAUUAUUGGGCGUAAAGGGCUCGCAGGCGGUUUCUUAAGUCUGAUGUGAAAGCCCCCGGCUCAACCGGGGAGGGUCAUUGGAAACUGGGAAACUUGAGUGCAGAAGAGGAGAGUGGAAUUCCACGUGUAGCGGUGAAAUGCGUAGAGAUGUGGAGGAACACCAGUGGCGAAGGCGACUCUCUGGUCUGUAACUGACGCUGAGGAGCGAAAGCGUGGGGAGCGAACAGGAUUAGAUACCCCGGUAGUCCCUGUCUCUUAUCC